RNAcentral lists this ribosomal RNA (230 nucleotides) under Yersinia intermedia. RNAcentral's name for it is "partial 16S ribosomal RNA". It matches the Rfam family "Bacterial small subunit ribosomal RNA", at positions 418 to 640 of the family's 1533-position model. The record is from RNAcentral. RNAcentral also lists the same sequence under 2 other names. Lineage: Bacteria; Pseudomonadati; Pseudomonadota; Gammaproteobacteria; Enterobacterales; Yersiniaceae.
UCGGGUUGUAAAGCACUUUCAGCGAGGAGGAAGGCAGUCGUGUUAAUAGCACGAUUGAUUGACGUUACUCGCAGAAGAAGCACCGGCUAACUCCGUGCCAGCAGCCGCGGUAAUACGGAGGGUGCAAGCGUUAAUCGGAAUUACUGGGCGUAAAGCGCACGCAGGCGGUUUGUUAAGUCAGAUGUGAAAUCCCCGCGCUUAACGUGGGAACUGCAUUUGAAACUGGCAAG